RNAcentral lists this small nuclear RNA (107 nucleotides) under Myotis brandtii (Brandt's bat). The record is from RNAcentral. Lineage: Eukaryota; Metazoa; Chordata; Mammalia; Chiroptera; Vespertilionidae.
GUGCUCGCUUCGGCAGCACGUAUACUAAAAUUGGAAAGAUAUAGAGAAGGUUAGCAUGGCCCCUGCGCAAGGAUGACAUGCAAACUCAUGAAGCAUUCCAUAUUUAA